RNAcentral lists this long non-coding RNA (3121 nucleotides) under Homo sapiens (human). RNAcentral's name for it is "non-protein coding lnc-IPO7-4:1". Lineage: Eukaryota; Metazoa; Chordata; Mammalia; Primates; Hominidae. The record is from RNAcentral.
GCAGCUUCCCGGGAGGUCGCCGCAGCGCAGCCGGUGACUGCUUGGUCGCCCGCAACUGCCACUCCCCCGGGAUUGAGACUCCUUUAGGGAGGGCUGAGGAGGUGCGAGAAGAGUGGGCGCAGCCUGCAGAGCCGGGCAUUUGGCCCAUGCUCUGCCCCCAACCACCCACCCAGCAAGCAGAGGUCCAGAGAUCUUAGCGCGGCCUUGCCAUGAGGAUGGGGUCUCACGACUGAGCUCGGAAGCUCACCUAAUCCUAGCUGCAGCGUGUCAGCCUAGACCCCAGACAGGGCCUUCUCCCUGUCCUCUCUUUUGGCAGGGGCGGAUGAGCCGGUUUUAUAUUUACCCUUAUUUUACAGACGGGGAAACUGAGUCUCAGAAAGAAGCAAGGACUUAUCCAAGGUUACGCUGAGUCUAAGAGACAUAAGCCUGGUCUGGAAUCCUGGGCUUGUGGUCAGCUCCCCGUUCCUCGCCGCUCCCACCUCCCAGCCUGCCCUUUUCCCACGCUCUCUCCUUUUUUCUCUGGAAGCCUCCAGAGGCGCCUGCCAUUUGGGAGCUCCUCUUCCUCUUCACUCUGUGAAAACUCUCAGAUCCACCCCUAAACCUGUUUUCCUGUAAGAGGAUAGGGAGGAGGCGAAGGGAAACUUACCUAUUGGUCCUUGUCCUAGGACCCUCCGAUUUCCUUUCCCAUAGAAGCUAGGCAGAUGUGUCUUUGUUGGAAACUGGAGAUCAGAGGCCAGAAAGGCAACACAGGUAUAGUGGUCACUAGCAUGGGCUCUAGAAAAAAAUGCUCGGAUUUCAAUCCUGACGAUCAUUUACUUUUGACCUUGAGCAAGUUAAUCUCUAAGUGCCUGGCGUCAUGGUUUUUGAGACAAUUACAUAAGGUAAAUGCAAGUACAGGUAAAACAAUGAGAAUACUGCCUGGAACAUGGAAAUCACUCAGUAAAUAUUACAGAUUUUUUUUUUCAAGACGGAGUUCUGUCUUGUUGCCCAGGCUGGAGUGCAAUGGCGUAAUCUCGGCUCACUGCACCUCUGCCUCCCAGGUUCAAGUGAUUCUCCUGCCUCAGCCACCCAAGUAGCUAGGAUUACAGGCGCGCACCACCACACUCGGCUAAUUUUUUGUAUUCAGUAGAGACAGGGAUUCACCGUGUUGGUCAGGCUGGUCUCGAACUCCUGACCUCAGGUGAUCCGCCCUCCUCUGCCUCCUAAAGUGCUGGGAUUACAGGCAUGAGCCAAUGAGCCCCCAGCCUGGAUUAUUAUUAUUGUUCCAGAAGGAAGUACUCUUACGGUUUGUUCUGGGAGGCUGCCACUAAGAGCUGUAGAAGGCAGCUGGCUUCCCCAAAGGCUGAGCCUAGGCUCUCUCCUAGGUUCUCCUGGGUACUUCUCUCAAAUAUUGUUUCCCUUGGGGAGGUUUACCUAGAGGUUAUAGCCAUUGUCUCUCGGAGCCAUAGCACCUGUUCCUCCCUGUAUCUAACCUGCCUGAACUAGGGGGAGAAAAGUGGGGAGGAGAAGGUUGCUUCAAAACGCCCAUUCAUGGUGAUGCUCCACCCGUAUCCUGCAUGCUGGGGACACAGAGACAGUAGAGGGGGAUUAGUGAGUUAAACAGUCACAGAGGCUGGGCGUGGUGGCUCACACCUGUAAUCCCAGAACUUGGGGAGGCCAAGGCUGGCGGAUCGCUUAAGGUCAGAAGUUCAAGACCAGCCUGACCAAUAUGGUGAAAUCCCAUCUCUACCAAAAAUAUAAAAUUAGCAGGGUGUGGUGGCAGGCAACUUUAGUCCCAGCUCCUCAGGAGGCUGAGGCAGGAGAAUCGCUUCAACUCAAGAGGCAGAGGUUGCAGUAAGCCGAGAUCGUGCCACUGCACUCUAGCCUGGGCAACAGAAUGAGGCUCUACCUCUAAAUAAAUAAAUAAAUAAAUAAAUAAAUAUGCCAGGCGUGGUGGCUGACACCUGUAAUCCCAGCACUUUAGGUGGCCAAGGCAGGCAGAUCACGAGGUCAGGAGAUCAAGACCAUCCUGGCCAACAUGGUGAAACCCCAUCUGUACUAAAAUUAUAAAAAUUAGCUGGGUAUGGUGGUGCCUGUAAUCCCAGCUACUCAGGAGGAUAAGGCAGGAGAAUUGCUUAAACUCGGGAGGUGGAGGUUGCAGUGAGCCAAGAUGGCGCCACUGCACUCCAGCCUGGCAACAGAGACACCCUGAAAAAAAAAAAAGAAAAAAAGAAAGUUACAGAGCACAGAAGGAGGACAUCUUUCCAGAUUGGGGAAUGGUCAGGGAAGGUUUCCAGAAGGAGGUAUAUACUCUGACCUGAGUUCCAGAGGAUCAACAGGAAGUUUCUCAGGUAAAAAGGGGCAGGGAAAGAUGUUUAACUCAGUAUGUGUAACAACAGGGAGCAACAGAUAAAAGGGUAUGUUCAGGCAUCAACAAGUAAUUCAUUAACAUUAAGAUGGGAGAUGGAGAGUUUAAAGGGAAUGAAACCAGGGCAGGGGAGGAAGAAGGAGAACAGAGGAAGGAGGCAUGGAUUCAAAUACCAGGCUAAAGAAUUUAUCCUCGGCCAGGCGUCGUGGUUCACACUCACGCUGGUAAUCCCAACACUUUGGGCAGCUGAGGCAGGAGGACUGCUUGAACCCAGGAGUUUGAGACCAGAGUGGAGAACAUAAUGUGACCCCUGUCAUAAAUAAAUAAAUAAAUAGUAUUUUUUAGAAAUAAUUUAUCCUAUAAGAUAUAUGAGUUGAGGAUGAGUGAGGUAAAGUAAAGGAAUUCAAGCCAAGGAGUGAUAUCUGACCCAAAUCUGAGAAUGAUCACUCUAGGGGUGAUGUGGAAAAAGAAAUUUGAGAAAGGAAUAAACGUCCUCAACUGAAAAGUCCAGAAACUUUUUAUCCAAGGUGUCCAGGGUGAUCUGGUGCUAGACGACCUCUCAUAUUAACUCAACUCGUAAAACACAAGUUAAAAACGAAUGCAUAACUGUAUUAAUUUGCCCUGGGAAAUGUAACUGCUCAGAAGCCCAGAAUACUCAACUGUGAAGUGAUCUCCUUCCCGGUAGGAAAUAAGUUUGGCAGAGUGAUUGCUUCUUAGAGAGUCAGAAAAUAUAGAAAGGGAUGCUCUUAAGAUUUUUUCUUUUUUUUUUUUUUU